Molecule: long non-coding RNA, 1256 nt
Organism: Sander lucioperca (pikeperch)
Lineage: Eukaryota; Metazoa; Chordata; Actinopteri; Perciformes; Percidae
Exons: 4
Source: RefSeq, a predicted model, not a curated record
AUUAAAAUGAACUUAUAUUGACACAUUCUCUGUGUACUUCAACAAAUAUCUCAAAUAAAAACACCAUAGAGACAGAGUGCCUUUAAGUCCUGCCCCCACCGGAGGGAAAUCAACUCUCCGCUCUCUAUUGACUUGUAUUGCGUGACGGUGCCUCCUCGUCAUUGCCGUCUGCUAGCGAACAGAAAAAUGCUUAAAAGCUGCUGUGUGAUGAUAUGCACAACCAGCAGGGUAAAGAACCCAAAACAUAAGUUAUUAUAAGCUGCUGAACCGAAAAACUGAGUUUUUAUAAAGACAAAAGUAACAUGAGGAAUCAGCAGGGAGAACGGGAAGACACUAAGCUAACAUUAUGGUCAGCGUUACUAUGAAGCAAGCAUUUUGUUACCUAGUCAGAUAUCCAAAUUUCAGUUUUAGGCUAACUAUAUUUAUGUAUGUUAAGCUAAAACAUUUUGACAGUAUGUGACUCGUGUUACAGUGGAAUGUGGAUAAAUCAGAAAGCUAUGCAGCAUUAUGUUUGCCUUAACUUGCUAACACAAUAGCUAACAUUAGCUUACUAACAGCUAACUUGUCCUCUCUGGUAGACAAAGGUUGCUAAAAUAAUCCUGUGACAUGCUUAAAUCUAAUGGUUUUUGCUAGCUACAGGCACUUUGUUUGCUGCAUUUUGUGGCGCCGAUUGUUUUCCCCUCCGGUGGACGUGGCUUUCAGAGUAUGAUGCGAUGCGCUCCGUCUUUAUCAAGAUAAAUUGAAGGUGUGACCACAAUGUGCAGUCAGAGUGGUAAAAAUCUGAAUUUUCUUCCAAGUCUUAACCGAGUCACAUCUCUUUUGCACCAGGGAAAGUGGCUUCACAUCUCCUCUGAAAACUAAUAAGAGACUUCGCACUCUCCCCAGGCCUCUCUUCACUCUACACCGUUACUAAUCGACAAUUUCCUGUCCUGUAUGGCUGCACUGACUUCUAAGAAAGUGACACAAUUUUGGACAAUGAGAUGAUAAUUUCCUUUUCAUAGUAAGAAAUUAUACUGUGAGUUUGCCUCAUUUCAGAUAAUAAUGUAUUCUGUCACAGUCUGACCCGUAGUGGUUUCUCUAUUUCAGCCUCAGUGAGAGUUCAGCGCACAGAGGUGGACCUAUGAUUGCUUCAGUUUUACUUUAAAGGCAGACCUGACCCAGUUCAGCAAAUCAUGAUCAGAACUCGUGGGGUGUGAAGUGACUUGAGCAUAACUCAUCUGAAGCACUUGUGUGAUGCAUGCAUGUAACUGAAAAAA